RNAcentral lists this ribosomal RNA (752 nucleotides) under uncultured bacterium. RNAcentral describes it as "bacterial SSU rRNA". It matches the Rfam family "Bacterial small subunit ribosomal RNA", at positions 28 to 776 of the family's 1533-position model. The record is from RNAcentral.
GAUGAACGCUGGCGGCGUGCUUAACACAUGCAAGUCGAACGGAGUUGUACGGACAGAAACCUUCGGGUGGAAGAUUGUAUAACUUAGUGGCGGACGGGUGAGUAACACGUGAGCAACCUGCCUUUCACAGUGGAAUAACAACAGGAAACUGUUGCUAAUACCGCAUAAUAUCUAGAUAAGGCAUCUUAUUUAGAUCAAAGAUUUAUCGGUGAAAGAUGGGCUCGCGUCCGAUUAGCUAGUUGGUGGGGUAAAGGCCUACCAAGGCGACGAUCGGUAGCCGGACUGAGAGGUUGAACGGCCACAUUGGGACUGAGACACGGCCCAGACUCCUACGGGAGGCAGCAGUGGGGAAUAUUGGGCAAUGGGCGCAAGCCUGACCCAGCAACGCCGCGUGAAGGAUGAAGGUCUUCGGAUUGUAAACUUCUUUGGUCAGGGACGAAACAAAUGACGGUACCUGAAGAACAAGCUACGGCUAACUACGUGCCAGCAGCCGCGGUAAUACGUAGGUGGCGAGCGUUAUCCGGAUUUACUGGGUGUAAAGGGCGUGUAGGCGGUUUUUUAAGAUGGAUGUGAAAUCCCCAGGCUCAACCUGGGAGGGUCAUCCAUAACUGGAGAACUUGAGUGUCGGAGAGGAAAGCGGAAUUCCUAGUGUAGCGGUAAAAUGCGUAGAUAUUAGGAGGAACACCAGUGGCGAAGGCGGCUUUCUGGACGAUAACUGACGCUAAGGCGCGAAAGCGUGGGGAGCAAACAGG